Molecule: ribosomal RNA, 506 nt
Filed under: uncultured bacterium
Lineage: Bacteria
Description: partial 16S ribosomal RNA
Rfam family: Bacterial small subunit ribosomal RNA
Source: RNAcentral
GACGAACGCUGGCGGCGUGCUUAACACAUGCAAGUCGAACGGGCCUUGUCCCCUUUUUUUUGGGGUGGGGUUAGUGGCGAACGGGUGAGUAACACGUGAGUAACCUGCCCCUCACUUCUGGAUAACCGCUUGAAAGGGUGGCUAAUACGGGGUGUUCUGGCCUGCUCGCAUGGGUGGGUUUGGAAAGAUUCGACCGGUUUUGGUUGUUUUGGUGGGGGAUGGGCUCGCGGCCUAUCAGCUUGUUGGUGGGGUGAUGGCCUGCCAAGGCUUUGACGGGUAGCCGGCCUGAGAGGGUGGGCGGUCACACUGGGACUGAGACACGGCCCAGACUCCUACGGGAGGCAGCAGUGGGGAAUAUUGCACAAUGGGCGCAAGCCUGAUGCAGCGACGCCGCGUGAGGGAUGGAGGCCUUCGGGUUGUGAACCUCUUUCGCCAGUGAAGAAGGUCCUGCUCUUUGUGGUGGGGUUGACGGUAGCUGGGUUAAUGAAGCGCCGGCUAACUACGUG